RNAcentral lists this ribosomal RNA (390 nucleotides) under uncultured bacterium. RNAcentral describes it as "bacterial SSU rRNA". It matches the Rfam family "Bacterial small subunit ribosomal RNA", at positions 28 to 419 of the family's 1533-position model. The record is from RNAcentral.
GACGAACGCUGGCGGCGUGCUUAACACAUGCAAGUCGAGCGGUAAGGCCCUUUCGGGGGUACACGAGCGGCGAACGGGUGAGUAACACGUGGGCGACCUGCCCUUAGCUCUGGGAUAAGCCUGGGAAACUGGGUCUAAUACCGGAUAUGACUCCAUGACGCAUGUUGUGGGGUGGAAAGCCUUGUGCGGCUAGGGAUGGGCCCGCGGCCUAUCAGCUUGUUGGGUGGGGUGAUGGCCACCAAGGCGACGACGGGUAGCCGGCCUGAGAGGGCGACCGGCCACACUGGGACUGAGACACGGCCCAGACUCCUACGGGAGGCAGCAGUGGGGAAUCUUGCGCAAUGGGCGAAAGCCUGACGCAGCGACGCCGCGUGAGGGAUGACGGCCUGU